AUCCUGCUCGGAGGGGUGCAAGUAGAACCAGAGGGGUUAUACUUUCAAUAUAGCACAAGCAGAACAACCAUGCCCAUCAUACAAACAGUUCAUGGAGUACAGAAGCUCGAAGUCAGACGAAUGACAGUCUUUUAACUAUGGACCAAAAGGAAGAUUUAAGCCUAAAGAAAGAAAACACGUCCAGAUAAAUGUAGGAUUGAUGGUGCCACAUGAAACUGAUGGAACCGAUUUAAAACCUCUAAGAGGGAAAACACUCCCGUUAUUUACAGACCCAGAGGUAGCAGCACCUGAUCUACUAAAACAAUUAGAAAUGCACCAGGACAUUCAUCAACAAUUCAGCCAGGACAGAUAGUAAUAUCUGAUGCUGAGGAUCUGGAUCCACCUGAAAAAAAUCCAGAAAAAACUUCUUGCUACAGUAAAUACACAGACCUGUAUUCACCAAAUGUUGAGCAAGAGGACGAAGAGACAGUUGCUGUCAAUGUGAAGAAUUUCCAACACACCUAUUGAGAUAUUGCUUUGGUGAUGUUAUUCAGAAGGACUUGGAUGAGUGUGUGAGAUUGUGGAACAGUCACAGGAUUCGCCCUUCCAGAACAGCAGCAUGUCCAGGAGGAGUGCCCAAUGAACUCUACUACUUACCACACAGGUUUGGCUCCAGAGACUGUGGAUUUCAAAUUGAACAGGCUGAACUGGAUGCCCUUCCUGAGGCUAGCCUGUCAAUGACUCCUUGUGGGGACCCAAACAUGCAGGAGUACUUGGACUUUGCCAUGGAACACAAU
Molecule: long non-coding RNA, 776 nt
Organism: Megalobrama amblycephala (Wuchang bream)
Lineage: Eukaryota; Metazoa; Chordata; Actinopteri; Cypriniformes; Xenocyprididae
Exons: 7
Source: RefSeq, a predicted model, not a curated record